GAUUUGGAACUCAAAAAAUCAUGAUUUUUGGUAAGGGUGUAGAGUUUCUGCUUUCGCUCAAGCGCACACGAAUGAAUGAGCGCCACAAAAAGUCACUCACAUGCUCAAUUGACACUCUCCCGAAAUUCAUUCGAGUAUCACUAGCUUGUUUGACAUUUGAUCGGAAUUCGAUCAAAUUUGCAAUGACAGCUAUCAUUCGAUCGCUCUUUUUCUCUAUCACUGACUCAAGGCUGUUUAUCAAGGUAUCAGGUAGAAAGCCAUGUCACUGACUGUUGUUGCUGGUCGUGUACGCUGCGGAUAGCCGAAAGUAGUUUUUUUUUUUAGUUUUAAGCUCGGUUUUGAGUUUGUAUCUUUUUCUGCCCAAAAAUGUCCGCGACGCCAAGUUCAGCGGAAAAGAAACGGUCGUUCCGGGACCUCACCAAGGAGAACGUCGAGUUUGUGGACGGUAAAGCUUGCUGCAACAUCGGCGGCGGCGGCCAAGUAAAAAGAUGUAGGUACUAUCAAGAAAAGUAUGAGCCCGGAAACAUGGUGCGGCAUUUCCGCUCUCGACAUGUGCAGAUCGCCAAGGAAAAAGGCUUCUUCCGGGAAGACGCGGAAGCGCCUGAGGAGAGACCUCCAAGGCCCCCUAAGAAAAUCCAGGUUGCAAUCAAUCGGCAGAUUGUGUCAUCGGCAUGUGCCCGCCUUGUAACAGUCAACAACCUGCCUCUGUCGGCCAUUGACUGGCCGGCAAUGCAGGAUAUACUCAAGCCGCUUGCGGACGCGAUGCAUGCAGAGUCCUUUUCCACACAUAACACGAGAUGUCUGUUGAACAGCGCUGCGGAAAGGAUCCGCGGAAAAAUGGCAGAUGAGAUGCGCGGAAAAUUGAUCUGCAUAAAAAUCGAUGGCGCAUCUCGACAUGGACGUCACAUAAUUGGUAUCAACGCUCAAUUCCGGCCUCGAGAAGGCGGGGACAUCGUUAUCCGAACGCUUGGCAUGGUGGAGGUACGGGAGAAGCAAACCGGCAAGUUUUUGAAGAGUAAAAUCCUCGAAAUACUAGCCAAGUACGAGAUCGGCGUCGAACGCAUUUUUUGUGUGACGUGUGAUAACGGGGCCAAUAUGUUGGCCACCGUUCGCGAGCUGAGGAAGGAGUUCGAAAUAAUCCUCAACGGAGAGGCCAGCGACAACGAAGACGACGAAGCAGAUGAACAAGCCGCGUGGACAAUUCUACGAAGCGUUUUGCCUGAAUUUCAAGAGUCGGUGAAUCUCGUCCGAUGUGGAGUACACACACUCCAACUGGCAGUGAACGACGUCACAAAGCGUCAUGAUCAGCAUAUUCGGCGCAUUUCGGAGGUGGCGAAACAUUGCCGUAAGGUCGUUUACGCCCACAACUUCGAGCAGCGACCACUUCCGCCACUCCCCCCUCGGAAUCUAUGACAUGCUGUCAAACUUUGCAAAGGAUAAAGAUUUCUACGUGGAUAUGGGCUCGAGAUUCGAAGAACUUGAUUUGACGGACAGCUGGAGUUUCAUUCACGAUUACCUGGAAACAUUUGAACCGGUAUACUACUGCACGAAAAACAUGCAGAUGCAUCACGUCGGUCUGUCAGACUUAGUGAUGGCCUGGUUGGACGCGGCUUAUAAGGUGAGCAUGGUUGAGAGCAGCCUCGCGAAAGAGCUGUCCCAAGCUCUGGAUAGCCGAUUGCAAAUGCUGAAAAAAUGCCUGCCUCUCAAGGCGGCUCUGUUCUUGGACCCCAGAUUCCAUUACCUUGAUUCGACUCUGUUCAAAGACGACGAAAAGGCUGAGCUUCGGAAAUUCAUCAGAGAUACCUCCACGCGAAUUGCUGCUCUGUCGUCGGUCGCUGAUAAAACGCCACAAUCCGCCGAACCGAAACCCAAUCCGCGCGACGGAUUUCAAGCUUAUUUGUGCGGGAUGUUCGGAGGUCAACCCACCACCUCCAAGGCUGGCGGAAAACUCAGUCUGGACGAGUAGAUCUUAUCCUUAGAUGCUACCCUCCAGCAGCCUCACACACUUGAUGUUUGGGAAUUCUGGCAAUCGCGGAAAUCCUCCCAUCCCGAGCUGUACCAGGUGGCCUCUCUAAUUUUUAGUGUUCCAUCCAAUCAGGUCUCAGUUGAGCGUGCCUUCAGUGCGCUGCGCCUUGUGUUGGCUGAUCAACGCACCUCCCUUGGCGAAGAAACAUUCGAGAUUAUUUUGAUCCUAAAGCUCAAUGUACAGCUUUUCAACGAGGUUCUAGUUGAGCUGACCAGUGACGUGAAAGACGAGUGAAGGCAAAAUUGCACAUUUUCCUACUUUGAAUUGUUUUUUUCCGACUUUGAAUUGCUUUAUUUGCCGUUAUUACUUUGUUUUUUCAUCGCCGUCAUCUAUAAACCAGAAAUAAAUCAUUGAAUUCCAGCUAUAGUCGUAAAUUUUUUUUCCCAUAAUAAUGCAUGGGCAUUGUUUGGCCUAGCCCAGUACAUGUUUUAAAAAUAAUAAUGUUGAGAAAAACCUUACCUGUUGGAAAAUAUUCCUAAAACUAAUUGAAAUCCUAUCAAAGUCACCCCGGUUAACGGUAUUCAAAAGACCUUCCCAAUGAGCCUAAAACAUCGAUGAUCUGAUAAACCUAACAACAAUUAUUAGCACUUAAGUAUAAUUUAUACACUUUUUAGAGACCGGUUCGAUGAAAAUGAUGUCCAAAUCCAUCAUGCAACACGUCGUUAGUUGGAUAAUUCAACACUUUCACUGAAUAGUGAAAGCUACAAUAUUUCAUUAAUCAUUCC
Molecule: RNA transcript, 2751 nt
Organism: Culex pipiens pallens (northern house mosquito)
Lineage: Eukaryota; Metazoa; Arthropoda; Insecta; Diptera; Culicidae
Exons: 4
Source: RefSeq, a predicted model, not a curated record